AGACGAGGUUGAGACAGUGGAAGGCAGAGCCAGGGGACCCUGAGUGGAGUCCUCCUUCUGCUCUGUCCUUGCUUUGAUGAUGGGCAGUACUGCCCCUCCUGGGCUCAGGCUUUUUUUUUUUUUUUUUUCUUGAGACAGAGUCUCGCCCUGUCACCCAGGCUGGAGUGCAUUGGCGCAACGGGAUGGAGGGUGAGCUCGGCUCACUGCAACCUCUGCUUCCUGGGUUCAAGUGAUUCUCCUGCCUCAGCCUCCCGAGUAGCUGGGAUUACAGGCGCCCACUACCACGCCCAGCUAAUUUUUUGUAUCUUUAGUAGAGACAGGGUUUCACCAUGUUGGCCAGGCUGAUCUCGAACUCCUGACCUCGUGAUCUGCGCACCUCGGCCUCCCAAAUUGCUUUCAUGCUGAGAUCACCAACACGUGGGACCACACAAUUCAUCCUUGGGAAGGCCAAGGUGGGAAGCGAAAUCUGGCCCAAUAUUGAAGCCAUAAGCAUAUGUUGAACUUUCAUGAGCCAUGAGCAAGGACUCACACCCCAGCAGGACUCUGCAGCCUGGGAGAAGCCAAGGUUCAUCACUGAGGUCCUGAUUCCUGGACCAGGUAGCAGAA
RNAcentral lists this long non-coding RNA (606 nucleotides) under Pan troglodytes (chimpanzee). RNAcentral's name for it is "lincRNA". The record is from RNAcentral. Lineage: Eukaryota; Metazoa; Chordata; Mammalia; Primates; Hominidae.